RNAcentral lists this ribosomal RNA (497 nucleotides) under uncultured bacterium. RNAcentral describes it as "partial 16S ribosomal RNA". It matches the Rfam family "Bacterial small subunit ribosomal RNA", at positions 28 to 507 of the family's 1533-position model. The record is from RNAcentral.
GAUGAACGCUGGCGGCGUGCCUAAUACAUGCAAGUCGAGCGAACGGACGAGAAGCUUGCUUCUCUGAUGUUAGCGGCGGACGGGUGAGUAACACGUGGAUAACCUACCUAUAAGACUGGGAUAACUUCGGGAAACCGGAGCUAAUACCGGAUAAUAUUUUGAACCGCAUGGUUCAACAGUGAAAGACGGUCUUGCUGUCACUUAUAGAUGGAUCCGCGCCGCAUUAGCUAGUUGGUAAGGUAACGGCUUACCAAGGCAACGAUGCAUAGCCGACCUGAGAGGGUGAUCGGCCACACUGGAACUGAGACACGGUCCAGACUCCUACGGGAGGCAGCAGUAGGGAAUCUUCCGCAAUGGGCGAAAGCCUGACGGAGCAACGCCGCGUGAGUGAUGAAGGUCUUCGGAUCGUAAAACUCUGUUAUUAGGGAAGAACAUAUGUGUAAGUAACUGUGCACAUCUUGACGGUACCUAAUCAGAAAGCCACGGCUAACUACGUG